GUUGAAUAAGUAAAUAUACCGUAGACAGUAGGUGCGUAAGCGUAACGGGCAACCAACCUACCGAGGGUUCCAAUAUAUGAUGAGGUAUAAUUGGUUUCUCUGUGUCUACGGAGAAACCUUUAAUUUUUAUAUA
Non-coding RNA from Clostridium tetanomorphum DSM 665, 133 nucleotides. NCBI's taxonomy places the organism in Bacteria, Bacillati, Bacillota, Clostridia, Eubacteriales, Clostridiaceae. The record is from Rfam.